GACAAGAAAUAACAAUACGGGGCUUAAUGUCUUGUAAUUGGAAUGAUGGGAAUUUAAACCUCUUCCAGAGUAUCAAUUGGAGGGCAAGUCUGGUGCCAGCAGCCGCGGUAAUUCCAGCUCCAAUAGCGUAUAUUAAAAUUGUUGCAGUUAAAAAGCUCGUAGUUGAAUUUCUGCUGCAUUGCUUUUGCUCCUUUACGAGUCUUUGCAUUGUGGCUUAUUUCGGACUUUGUUUUACAAUGUCCGGAUGUUUACUUUGAGAAAAUUAGAGUGCUCAAAGCAGGCUUUCGCCUUGAAUAGUUUAGCAUGGAAUAAUAAAGUAGGACUUUGGUUCUAUUUUGUUGGUUUUAGGUACCAAAGUAAUGGUUAAUAGGAACAGUUGGGGGCAUUCGUAUUUAACUAAUCAC
RNAcentral lists this ribosomal RNA (404 nucleotides) under Theileria ovis. RNAcentral describes it as "SSU rRNA". It matches the Rfam family "Eukaryotic small subunit ribosomal RNA", at positions 469 to 909 of the family's 1831-position model. The record is from RNAcentral. Lineage: Eukaryota; Apicomplexa; Aconoidasida; Piroplasmida; Theileriidae.